This 402-nucleotide ribosomal RNA is filed under the name uncultured prokaryote. RNAcentral describes it as "bacterial SSU rRNA". It matches the Rfam family "Bacterial small subunit ribosomal RNA", at positions 355 to 774 of the family's 1533-position model. The record is from RNAcentral.
UGGGGAAUAUUGGACAAUGGGCGCAAGCCUGAUCCAGCCAUGCCGCGUGAGUGAUGAAGGCCUUAGGGUUGUAAAGCUCUUUUGUCCGGGACGAUAAUGACGGUACCGGAAGAAUAAGCCCCGGCUAACUUCGUGCCAGCAGCCGCGGUAAUACGAAGGGGGCUAGCGUUGCUCGGAAUCACUGGGCGUAAAGGGCGCGUAGGCGGCCUAGUAAGUUGGGGGUGAAAGCCCGUGGCUCAACCACGGAAUUGCCUUCGAUACUGCUAGGCUUGAGUGUGGUAGAGGUUGGUGGAACUGCGAGUGUAGAGGUGAAAUUCGUAGAUAUUCGCAAGAACACCGGUGGCGAAGGCGGCCAACUGGACCAUUACUGACGCUGAGGCGCGAAAGCGUGGGGAGCAAACA